CUGAUUUGUGCUGGUGUUAAGUGCUGUGGUCCUGAUUGUAAAGAUCCUAUGGCUGCUGCAGAAAAUCAGUUUGAGACCUCAUCAGUGGAGGACAUUGCCUAGAAGUUCACUGACACGCUUCACAUAUGGUGGUGAAUGAUUCCAACUUCGAUGAAGCACAGAAAUAUGAUCCGCAUUAAAAGCUACUAAGUCCUGCCACUUGGAAAUCCAAAAUCACUUUGUUGCUCAUGUCCUAUUUCUGAAUAUUUGCUCCAUUGGAGGGUGAGCAAUUGUAUGGAACACCGGGUUCAUGGGGUGGAGAGCAACUGCAUAUAUGACACAUCAUGAGGUUCCACUGCCAGAUGAUGAGCAGUGAUUUGCAAGUCUCAAAGCAGGCUGGGGAUCGGAAUUGUACUAUAUGAUCCUGUCACCAACUGAAACCCCUCAUGGUGAACAGCAUCAGUGCU
This is a long non-coding RNA of Schistocerca gregaria, 446 nucleotides long. RefSeq lists it as uncharacterized. NCBI's taxonomy places the organism in Eukaryota, Metazoa, Arthropoda, Insecta, Orthoptera, Acrididae. The transcript has 3 exons. The record is from RefSeq and is a predicted model, not a curated record.